This 419-nucleotide unclassified non-coding RNA is filed under the name Hevea brasiliensis (rubber tree). Lineage: Eukaryota; Viridiplantae; Streptophyta; Magnoliopsida; Malpighiales; Euphorbiaceae. The record is from RNAcentral.
GUGAAAGACAUGGAGUAGUGUCUCCUCAGCCAGACCACAUCGUGAGUAGAUCUUAGGGACAUCCAUACCCGGACGGGAUAACAUAAUUAAGCAGGGUGAGAACAGAAUAUCAGAUAGAGAUCGCCACAAGAAAUGGCGCACUUUAGGAAGCAACUUUUAGCCUUAGCCACGAACUUGCCUCCAAUUCAUAAGAGACGGGAGAAGAAGUUGUCGAAGUAGGGAGGACCGAGAUGAAUUGUGCUUUUGACAUCUGGCAAGAGGGAUUUUGGUAACAUUAAAUGAAAGUUGAGAGAUUUUUUUGAUAGUAAAUUUAAGUUAAGCGUCAAAAAUAUGAUAACGCCAAAGUUGAAAAAUGGCGGUAAAAAUUAAAAAACAAUUAUUAUUUAAUCUAUAAUUUGAUCUGUUAUCUUCUACAAUAU